Molecule: transfer RNA, 61 nt
Filed under: Lanthanaphalara mira
Lineage: Eukaryota; Metazoa; Arthropoda; Insecta; Hemiptera; Aphalaridae
Description: tRNA-Ser
Source: RNAcentral
GCUUAAUAAUUUAAAAAAAAUAUUUACCUUGAAAGUAAAAAACGUUGGGCACUUAAGCUUA